AGAAGCUUAGGUUAAUACUAAACCAGAGACCUUCAAAGCCUCAAACAGGGCUACCUAAAACCCUAGCUUCUG
Molecule: transfer RNA, 72 nt
Filed under: Mesalina olivieri
Lineage: Eukaryota; Metazoa; Chordata; Lepidosauria; Squamata; Lacertidae
Description: tRNA-Trp
Source: RNAcentral